Molecule: transfer RNA, 72 nt
Filed under: Candidatus Bipolaricaulota bacterium
Lineage: Bacteria; Candidatus Bipolaricaulota
Description: tRNA-Val
Rfam family: tRNA
About the family: Transfer RNA (tRNA) molecules are approximately 80 nucleotides in length. Their secondary structure includes four short double-helical elements and three loops (D, anti-codon, and T loops).
Source: RNAcentral
GGGCGAAUGGCUCAGCGGCAGAGCGCCUGACUCACAUUCAGGAGGUCGCAGGUUCAAAUCCUGCUUCGCCCA